AAUUACCAGUGCCUUAAGAGGCUAACACAGAAGUCUCCAUAAAACCCAGAGAAGAGAUUUUUAAAACUCCUCUCUGGAUCCUGUCUGGAGUCACAACU
This 98-nucleotide small nucleolar RNA is filed under the name Cervus elaphus hippelaphus. RNAcentral's name for it is "Small nucleolar RNA SNORA26". It matches the Rfam family "Small nucleolar RNA SNORA26". Rfam says of the family: The snoRNA HBI-6 belong to the H/ACA family of snoRNAs, guiding the pseudouridylation of position U4522 if the 28S rRNA. HBI-6 is the human orthologue of mouse MBI-6 snoRNA. The record is from Rfam by way of RNAcentral. RNAcentral also lists the same sequence under 1 other name. Lineage: Eukaryota; Metazoa; Chordata; Mammalia; Artiodactyla; Cervidae.